GGAAAGUUUCCCGCCAUAUGACUAAUACCCGUGUUGUGUUUACAUGACCCGAUUUAAAUCCAUAUCAUAAAAAGGGUCGGAUGUGCCCUAAUCAAAAUGAGAACAAAUUGGGACUCAUCAAAGGGGAGGGGAAGAACGAAGAAAGAAGAAAAAGAAGCACGCUACGGCAAAAUAAGGGCAGAUGGUCAGGGAAACUUGUAAUUGUGGAAGACAAACACUACUGAUGACAUCAUGGACAGACAAACCCAGGAAGUCGAUUUGUGCGAUGUCCUCAGUAUAAGGAAUCGGGAGGCUGUAAAUAUUGGGACUGGGUUGAUCUUGAGAUGUGUCAAAGGUCUAAAGAAAUAAUACCUGGACUGUUACGGUCCAAGAACAAGAUUGCAGCUGAGGUCGAGAAGUGGAAGGAGAUGGCCAAGGUACAGCAAGGAAAUGCGAGGAGGUUGAAGAUGUACCUGAUGCUUCAUUGGGGUGUCAUUCUCCUGUGGCUGUUUUUCUUCAAAUAUGGGGCAAAAGGUUAAAAUGAAGUUGGAGAAGAAGCUGCCCUAUGAUGUGGGAAAUUAUUAUUUUUGCCUAAUGCUGGGAUCAAAGGUCAUUAGGGGGUAGGUUAUCCAAGUUUCGUAGUUGUGGGUAUUCGGAAUAGGUUGUGUAGUGAACUAUGUACAUAAGUUGGUUCUGGUGUUGAUACUGCAAUACUGCAAAUGGAUGAGUGUUUUUGCUGGUUAUGUAAUUUGUAGUAUCAGCUUUUACUUUUGGAUGUAAUGCAUUAUUAGUGGAGCCUAA
Coffea arabica (coffee) is the source of this 780-nucleotide non-coding RNA. The record is from RefSeq and is a predicted model, not a curated record. Lineage: Eukaryota; Viridiplantae; Streptophyta; Magnoliopsida; Gentianales; Rubiaceae.